Molecule: non-coding RNA, 135 nt
Organism: Triticum aestivum (bread wheat)
Lineage: Eukaryota; Viridiplantae; Streptophyta; Magnoliopsida; Poales; Poaceae
Source: Rfam
UUUCUACUCCCUCCGUCCGAAAAUACUUGUCAUCAAAAUGGAUAAAAAGAGAUGUAUCUAAAACUAAAAUAUGUAUAGAUACAUUUCCUUUUAUCCAUUUUGAUGACAAGUAUUUCCAGGCGGAGGGAGUAUUUG